CCUUGACCUCAGACAGGAUGUUUAUUAAUCCAGCAGUUCCAAAGGAAUUGAAUAUAAAUCAAAUACAAGCAUCAGAUGCAGGAAACUAUUCAUGUCACACUAGUACAGCAGCAAUAGGAUGGAUAUUAACAGUAACAGAAAACAGACCACAUCACCUCUACAUUAUCAUCUCAUGUACUGCAGUUAUUAUCAUCUGUCUGAUCAUCGGUCUCAGUAUCUGGAUUAACAGGACAUGGAAAAGCAACGGAGAUGCAGGGCAGGACUUUUCACAGACCCUGGCCAGAGGAGGAGUACAAACUCAAAACAGUCAGUACUUUGAGAGAUACAACUCAUUGUAUGGACAAGUAUUACACUGAAGAUCCUAUACAGCUAUAGCCUACAGUUAAGGGCAUUUGGUGACUCAAAUAGACUUAAAAUACUGUGGGAGAACUGGAGUACCCAGUGAAAACCCAUGUAACCCGGACACUGAAGAUGUAAUAUGACUUUUGCUUAUCUUCUGCUUGUAUAAACUGUUUGUUUAUAUGACAAUGCCAUUCUGGGGUCUUAAAAACUUUUGAAGAUGGGUUUCAAAGUGCAAGUUUUUGAAAACUGUGCUCUGCCACCAUCGUCUCUGUGCUCUGCCACCAUCGUCUCCGUCGACUAUGCCUUGUCGUCUCUGUGUGAAUUACAUAACCACGAAUCUGUGAUAAUGGUGACAUCAUAUGCAUGUGUUCAUGCGUGAGAGUAUAGACGGUUUCAGCAGCAACAACAUAAACAAACGGUGUGGAACACAAAAGAAUUGGACUAAAUGUAACUUCCACAUUGUGGUAUAGUGGUUAAAGAGACUUGAUUGUAACCCAGAGGAUGUUGGUUCAAUUCCCACAGCAUGACAGGAAGUGACUGAAGUGUUUUGAUGUUGCAGUGAUAGUUGCCCAUAGCUGCCAUCUUGUUUGUAUUUAUUGCUAUGUAGGAGAAUGUUUACACAAAGGAACACAUAUCUGUUUUUUAUUACAUUAGUGUCAUGGAAACGUAGCCUGAGAGAUUGCAGUUUUAAAAGGUCAACAAUCUUUGGUCUAGGACAAAUCUAUCACAGUUUAUCUUAGCUGCUUUGGGGCUUUUCUUAGAUCAGAUACAUUUUUUUCAAAACACUUAGUUCAACCUCCACAUCAUCAAGUCAGUUGUGCACAACAUAAAAGCAAAUUCUCAUUGUUUUGGACAUAUUGCAAAUGCUUUGAUACAACCAUACAAUUGUCUGCUGUUUGCUACAGUUUCAAUUGCUUAUGUCAUUUUCAUCAAAAUACAUUAGACUGGUUUCUGUUAAAUAGCCUUACAUCUCAAAACAUUUGGAAUUAAUUCAUUGUAAAAGGCACGUCAUGCAAAAUUGUUAACCGUUGUGUCAUAAUAUGUUACUGUAAACAUUUUUAAAAAAUGUUUAGUCUUUUGUAAAUGUAAACGGAAUUGAUGUAUUGCUGUCAUGUGAAUCUUGAGUUACAGAAAAAUGUACAUUUCUUACAAUGUACAGUGAACCUUUAGCCUACAGUUUUUCUCAUUUGCUUUGGCUCAUUUCUUGAAACAUGGAAAAACCUCCAAUCCACUUGGCAAUUGUUCACAACAGAAUUGAAUUUCUCAUUCAUUUCAUCAAAUUGCAAAUGUCUAAGUACAUGUCUCAAUAUCUCAGUACAUCUUUGCAAAUUAUUAAGUACAGGCAGCCUACAUUUAGCACAAUUUCCAAGUGAAUAGAUCUUGUUGAUCUAAACUUAGUGGUUGAUUCUCAGUCUAAUGGUUGUUCGCUCCAAAACAUGUCAGCAUCAUUUCAUUGUAUAAGUCAUCACAUGCACAAUUGUCAAAAUUAGUCAAGAACCUAAUUGUCACGAUCUCAGUCUUUCGACCGCUCUGUCUCUUUUUUCCUUCUCUGUGUUUUGUGUUUUGACAGUUCCUCACGUGCGCUUCUGUCACCGGGGCGAUCUCAUCAUCACUAACUAAUUUCCUUCAUCUGCGUCACUCACCUGUUCCUCAUUUGCUCCCCAAUUCGUUUGGUAUUUAGUCUCCCCUUGUUCUUUUGCUCCUUGCGAGUUCAUCAUAGUUUCUGUGCUUUUGUCCUGUCAUGUCGUGUUCGCCGUUUUGGAUUAUUUAGCAUUUUUUGACCUUUUUGUCUUUUAUUAUUUUUCUGCCUGUUCUGUCUGCUGUCUCUGCUCUACGUCUCUCAUUAGGAAUCCAGCACCUCCGCUCCAGUUUGCCCAUUGCCUUCUCUCUGCCCUGCCGGUGUCCAGCUAUGCCAGAUUCCAUGUGUGACCGCUGUCCAGUAGCACUGAGGGAGUUCAUGACCGCCGCCCUGCUGUAUCUGUCGGCCUUCAUUGCCGAUCGCUGUCCAGAGUCCUGACUAUGCCCGCUGUCCAGCUACACUGUGACGGAUCAUAUUAUAACCCAGCUACCUGUCGGCCUUAAUUGCCGAUUGGUCAUCUCAUCUCUCCCCGAUUCAAAUCUGUGGCAUUACUACAUCCAGCUUGGUGUGUGAUCUCCAGUGUGUGACUGUCUCUCAUCCUGACCAGCACGGCGGUUGUGAUCUCCAGUGUGUGUCCUUGUGACUUUUCUCUGCCUACCGGCAGGGUGGUUGUUGAUCACCAGUGUUAUCUAUAUUCUUAUUAAAGAUUGUUUCAUCUGCUAUUGGAUCCUUGCCUCUGUGUAUU
This is a long non-coding RNA of Paramisgurnus dabryanus, 2666 nucleotides long. RefSeq lists it as uncharacterized. Lineage: Eukaryota; Metazoa; Chordata; Actinopteri; Cypriniformes; Cobitidae. The record is from RefSeq and is a predicted model, not a curated record.